Ipomoea nil (Japanese morning glory) is the source of this 1633-nucleotide RNA transcript. RefSeq lists it as uncharacterized. Lineage: Eukaryota; Viridiplantae; Streptophyta; Magnoliopsida; Solanales; Convolvulaceae. The transcript is spliced from 6 exons. The record is from RefSeq and is a predicted model, not a curated record.
GUAAAGGAGGAUACUUGGGGUAUGCAAGAGAAAUGACAGUAAGUUUGUUUUGGUUGCAUUAAAUUUUUGUCACUUUGUUGCUGUUGGUGCCACUAAUUCGACCUUCUUUUAGGUAGAAGCCGAUGAUUCUUCUACAUUAACAAGGAUUAACUGCUUUCUCAAUGAUGCAUUACAAUCUUCAUGUGAAGGAAUUAUGGUUAAAUCUCUUGAUGUAGAUGCUGGGUAUACACCAUCAAAGCGCUCUGAAGCAUGGCUGAAGGUUAAGAAAGAUUAUAUGGAAGGAUUAAGUGACUCCCUCGACUUGUAUUGUUUUGAAUUGUGAGGAAUGCCCCAACAAUCAUACAAUCUUUCAGUGUGGAUGGAUCAAGUGGACAACUGAUUGAAGCUUCAAAUUUUGAUCUAUCAUCAGUAAAACCUUAUUGAAACUAGUGAUUCCUCGAAUUAAGCAUCUAAGGAACCAGAGAGAGAUUCAGAUGAAGCAGAUGCGUAGAGAAAUAGCAAAAUUUCUUGAAACUGGUCAAGAAGCUACUGCUCUGAUUUGGGUAGAGCAUAUUAUAAGAGAAGAGAAAAUGAUGGCUGCACAGGAGAUAAUUGAAUUAUUUUGUGAACUUAUAUCCAUUCGCCUUCCAAUUAUUGAGGCGCAGAGGGAAUGCCCUCUGGAUUUGAAAGAAGCGAUUUCCAGUAUAUGUUUUGCUGCAUCGAGAUGUGCAGAUGUUACAGAGUUGGUGCAAGUUUAAAUGUUGUUUGCUGGAAAAUACGGGAAAGAAUUUGUUGUUGUUGCGGCUGAACUGAUGCCCGAGUGUGGUGUCAAUCGCCAGGUUAUACACAUUCUGGUUUUAUGACAUAGCUAAAGAAGCAGCUCAGCUGAGCUUCAUAUAGUUUUUAAAGGUGUUUUUAUUACUGCGUAUUUGCAGUUAAUAGAGCUAUUAUCUGUUCGAGCUCCUGGUCCCGAUGUGAAACUCAAGCUGCUAAAGGAAAUUGCUUUGGAGCAUGAACUAGAGUGGGAUCCAAGUGCAUCUGAAACUGAAUUAUGGAAACUUUGUGAAGACCUACUUGUAUGCUUUAUCUUCUAACCAUGUCAUUUUGCCUUUAUAUUUAACGUUUGUAACCUUGAUUGUGCUUCUGUUUCUUGUAGAAUGGACCAACGCAAUUUAAUAUAGUCAAUUUGUCAGUUUUGUCCAAGUUUUUGAAAGUGUAUUUCAGGAAAAUGCUUGACACAGAAGAUCUUGAAGAAGAAACCUAAGAAGUCCCCAAGGAUGAAGAUGGGACAUUGAUGAAGGUUUUCCGCCCUGAGGAGAUUAGUGCCAUGAUUCUUACUAAGAUGAAGGAAACAUACAGAUGAAGCUUAUGUUAGCUUGGAAAGACAAUAAGGAUGCAGUUAGUUGUGACCGUUAUGUUCUAGCCGAAGACAUGCCCUCUGGCCGAUCUGAGACAUCCAAUUAUCAGCGUUGUGUAUCAGAGAUCUGGUGGAGCCCCUGGAGGUGGUGGAAGCAGUGAAGACUAUGAUGAAUGAUUAUUCUUCCUCUUAUUAUUUUUUCUAUGUAUGAGAAAUUUUAUUGAUGCGUAGCUAGGAUAGGCUAAAGUUGGAUAAUGUUGUGUAUUUCUGGUUUCCCUUCCGAACUGAAACAAUUGC